This is a non-coding RNA of Pelodiscus sinensis (Chinese soft-shelled turtle), 314 nucleotides long. The record is from RefSeq and is a predicted model, not a curated record. NCBI's taxonomy places the organism in Eukaryota, Metazoa, Chordata, Testudines, Trionychidae.
GGAACCUGGGAUAUAAAGACUUUGGAGAGAUGGAAAUGGAAAUCAGCACAACACCUAAGCAGAGGGUUCUCCGGUAAUGCAAAGAAGACCACAGAAAACUCUACUGUAACUAUUCAUCCAAAGGAAAUUAGAACAUUUUUUGUAUACUUUCAAGAUCAGUGAAAGUCUGCAAAUUAUUCCUGAGCCAUCAUUGAACAACUUGCUUCGUUUCUUUUUUAAAAAAUCACAAGUUUUGAGAACAUUUUUCCUAGUAUUGUAAAUGGAAUCAAUAAUUAUUAUAUAAUAAACUGUGAAAUUUAAUUAAAUCAUCAAAA